AGCGAACGCUGGCGGCAGGCCUAACACAUGCAAGUCGAACGAACUCUUCGGAGUUAGUAGCGGACGGGUGAGUAACACGUGGGAACGUGCCUUUAGGUUCGGAAUAACUCAGGGAAACUUGUGCUAAUACCGAAUGUGCCCUUCGGGGGAAAGAUUUAUCGCCUUUAGAGCGGCCCGCGUCUGAUUAGCUAGUUGGUGAGGUAAAGGCUCACCAAGGCGACGAUCAGUAGCUGGUCUGAGAGGAUGAUCAGCCACAUUGGGACUGAGACACGGCCCAAACUCCUACGGGAGGCAGCAGUGGGGAAUCGUGCGCAAUGGGCGAAAGCCUGACGCAGCCAUGCCGCGUGAAUGAUGAAGGUCUUAGGAUUGUAAAAUUCUUUCACCGGGGACGAUAAUGACGGUACCCGGAGAAGAAGCCCCGGCUAACUUCGUG
RNAcentral lists this ribosomal RNA (433 nucleotides) under uncultured bacterium. RNAcentral's name for it is "partial 16S ribosomal RNA". It matches the Rfam family "Bacterial small subunit ribosomal RNA", at positions 29 to 507 of the family's 1533-position model. The record is from RNAcentral.